GCUCAUCUGUGAAAUGGAGUCACGCAUCCCUGUUGUGGAGGAGUUGGGUCCCUGCUUCCCCUUCUCUGUGAGCGUGGAACUGGACGGUGUGGUCUGCCCUGCGGGCACUGCGAAUAGCAAGACAGAGGCCAAACAGCAGGCAGCGCUGUCUGCCCUCUGCUACAUCCGGAGUCAGCUGGAGAACCCAGGUAAUGGAGGGAGGGCCAGGCAGCUGAGCCGCAGCUGGGGACAAGAGGCCUGAGGCUGGCAGUCCUGUGGGGAGGCGGAAGUGGCUGUGCGUGUGAGCAGGAGGUGGGUUGCUGCACGAACCAUCUGAGCAUCAGGACAUCACCUGCAGGGAGCUGGGGCGGGGUACAUGUGCCGGUCCCUGCUUUCAUGUCCUCUGGGGACACUGGGUGUAGGGACUGCUAGAAGAGCAGCUCGUGUAAUGUCCGGUGUCUGGAAGAUGAAAACUUCCUCUCCCCACCUCCUUGGCUUCCUGAGGGAUGGAGGGUGGGCCUUGGCACCCACACCAGCCUGCCCUCCUUGCCUCUUUCAGAGUCCCCCCAGACCU
This 553-nucleotide small RNA is filed under the name Pan troglodytes (chimpanzee). RNAcentral describes it as "retained intron". Lineage: Eukaryota; Metazoa; Chordata; Mammalia; Primates; Hominidae. The record is from RNAcentral.